RNAcentral lists this ribosomal RNA (517 nucleotides) under uncultured beta proteobacterium. RNAcentral's name for it is "bacterial SSU rRNA". It matches the Rfam family "Bacterial small subunit ribosomal RNA", at positions 486 to 1018 of the family's 1533-position model. Lineage: Bacteria; Pseudomonadati; Pseudomonadota; Betaproteobacteria. The record is from RNAcentral.
AUAAGCACCGGCUAACUACGUGCCACAGCCGCGGUAAUACGUAGGGUGCGAGCGUUAAUCGGAAUUACUGGGCGUAAAGCGUGCGCAGGCGGUUCGUCAAGUCUGAUGUGAAGCCCCGGGCUCAACCUGGGAAUGGCAUUGGAAACUAGCGGGCUUGAGUGUGGCAGAGGGGGGUGGAAUUCCACGUGUAGCAGUGAAAUGCGUAGAGAUGUGGAGGAACACCGAUGGCGAAGGCAGCCCCCUGGGCUAACACUGACGCUCAUGCACGAAAGCGUGGGGAGCAAACAUUAGAUUGGUAGUCCACGCCCUAAACGAUGGCAACUGGGUGUUGGGGAAGCGAUUUCUCAGUACCGUAGCUAACGCGUGAAGUUGCCCGCCUGGGGAGUACGGCCGCAAGGUUAAAACUCAAAGGAAUUGACGGGGACCCGCACAAGCGGUGGAUGAUGUGGAUUAAGAUGCAACGCGAACAACCUUACCUAUUGACAUGUCCGNAAGCUCGCUGAGAGGUGAGUGUGCC